Molecule: non-coding RNA, 213 nt
Filed under: Novilysobacter arseniciresistens
Lineage: Bacteria; Pseudomonadati; Pseudomonadota; Gammaproteobacteria; Lysobacterales; Lysobacteraceae
Source: RNAcentral
GAUAUGUUGUGUCACGUCGGUGCCGGCCUCGCGGUCGGCUGAAAAGGGAAGCCGGUGCGGACACCUCAGUCCAAUGCCGGCGCUGCCCCGCAGCGGUAGUGGAAACGAAAGCCGUCUUGGCACUGGGUACGCCCCGGGAAGCGACGGCCGGUAGGAGGACAGCAGACUGUCCGCGUCCAGAGCCCGAAGACCUGCCGACAGCCGCGCGAAGCA